RNAcentral lists this long non-coding RNA (296 nucleotides) under Populus trichocarpa (black cottonwood). RNAcentral describes it as "long non-coding RNA (PTRI_LNC002340)". The record is from RNAcentral. Lineage: Eukaryota; Viridiplantae; Streptophyta; Magnoliopsida; Malpighiales; Salicaceae.
CAACACUGAUGAUGAUUUCAAGAAUCACUUGGAAGUCAACCCAUGUGCAAAGUUUGAGGUGAUAUUUGUCUAGGACGAUUUCUGAAUUCUGACUACCACGAUUGCUAAUUUUGAGCUUCUUGUGUUAAAAUGUGUGCAAGGAAGUCAAGGUGAUUUGUUUGGAGGGUUGCUUCCAUCCUUUUCCGUUGGCCUCCUUGUAUCUGUUGUUUUACAUGAGCAAUGAAGUGCUAUAGCUUGCUGGGAAGUUGGGUUAUUUGGGGUAAACCCUUCACUGACCUUGGUGAUGCAUGGUGAAU